RNAcentral lists this ribosomal RNA (412 nucleotides) under Sulfitobacter sp. RNAcentral describes it as "bacterial SSU rRNA". It matches the Rfam family "Bacterial small subunit ribosomal RNA", at positions 505 to 916 of the family's 1533-position model. The record is from RNAcentral. Lineage: Bacteria; Pseudomonadati; Pseudomonadota; Alphaproteobacteria; Rhodobacterales; Roseobacteraceae.
GUGCCAGCAGCCGCGGUAAUACGGAGGGGGUUAGCGUUGUUCGGAAUUACUGGGCGUAAAGCGUACGUAGGCGGAUCAGAAAGUUGGGGGUGAAAUCCCGGGGCUCAACCCCGGAACUGCCUCUUAAACUCCUGGUCUUGAGUUCGAGAGAGGUGAGUGGAAUUCCAAGUGUAGAGGUGAAAUUCGUAGAUAUUUGGAGGAACACCAGUGGCGAAGGCGGCUCACUGGCUCGAUACUGACGCUGAGGUACGAAAGUGUGGGGAGCAAACAGGAUUAGAUACCCUGGUAGUCCACACCGUAAACGAUGAAUGCCAGUCGUCGGGCAGUAUACUGUUCGGUGACACACCUAACGGAUUAAAGCAUUCCGCCUGGGGAGUACGGUCGCAAGAUUAAAACUCAAAGGAAUUGACGG